Molecule: small nuclear RNA, 118 nt
Organism: Aotus nancymaae (Ma's night monkey)
Lineage: Eukaryota; Metazoa; Chordata; Mammalia; Primates; Aotidae
Gene: U5
Rfam family: U5 spliceosomal RNA
About the family: U5 RNA is a component of both types of known spliceosome. The precise function of this molecule is unknown, though it is known that the 5' loop is required for splice site selection and p220 binding, and that both the 3' stem-loop and the Sm site are important for Sm protein binding and cap methylation.
Source: Ensembl
GUACUCUGGUUUCUCUUCAGAUCAUAUAAAUCUUUUGCCUUUUACUAAAGAUUUCCGUGGGGAGGAACAGUUAUGAGUCUUUAUCCAAUUUUUUUGAGGCCUUGUGUUUCACGAGGCU